This 360-nucleotide ribosomal RNA is filed under the name uncultured Thermus sp. Its description in RNAcentral is "bacterial SSU rRNA". It matches the Rfam family "Bacterial small subunit ribosomal RNA", at positions 1020 to 1382 of the family's 1533-position model. The record is from RNAcentral. Lineage: Bacteria; Thermotogati; Deinococcota; Deinococci; Thermales; Thermaceae.
GAGGGAGCCCUAGCACAGGUGCUGCAUGGCCGUCGUCAGCUCGUGCCGUGAGGUGUUGGGUUAAGUCCCGCAACGAGCGCAACCCCGCCGUUAGUUGCCAGCGGUUCGGCCGGGCACUCUAACGGGACUGCCCGCGAAAGCGGGAGGAAGGAGGGGACGACGUCUGGUCAGCAUGGCCCUUACGGCCUGGGCGACACACGUGCUACAAUGCCCACUACAAAGCGAUGCCACCCGGCAACGGGGAGCUAAUCGCAAAAAGGUGGGCCCAGUUCGGAUUGGGGUCUGCAACCCGACCCCAUGAAGCCGGAAUCGCUAGUAAUCGUGAAUCAGAAUGUCACGGUGAAUACGUUCCCGGGCCUU